CCUACGGGUGGCUGCAGUGGGGAAUAUUGGACAAUGGGGGCAACCCUGAUCCAGCCAUGCCGCGUGUGUGAAGAAGGCCCUCGGGUUGUAAAGCACUUUCAGUGAGGAAGAACGCCUGGUGGUUAAUACCCAUCAGGAAAGACAUCACUCACAGAAGAAGCACCGGCUAACUCCGUGCCAGCAGCCGCGGUAAUACGGAGGGUGCGAGCGUUAAUCGGAAUUACUGGGCGUAAAGCGCGCGUAGGUGGCUUGAUAAGCCGGUUGUGAAAGCCCCGGGCUCAACCUGGGAACGGCAUCCGGAACUGUCAAGCUAGAGUGCAGGCGAGGAAGGUAGAAUUCCCGGUGUAGCGGUGAAAUGCGUAGAGAUCGGGAGGAAUACCAGUGGCGAAGGCGGCCUUCUGGACUGACACUGACACUGAGGUGCGAAAGCGUGGGUAGCAAACAGGAUUAGAUACCCGGGUAGUC
Molecule: ribosomal RNA, 465 nt
Filed under: Vreelandella stevensii
Lineage: Bacteria; Pseudomonadati; Pseudomonadota; Gammaproteobacteria; Oceanospirillales; Halomonadaceae
Description: partial 16S ribosomal RNA
Rfam family: Bacterial small subunit ribosomal RNA
Source: RNAcentral